AUGCCCUUCUCCGAAGCCGUCAAAAUUCUGAGUACACCCAACAAGGAGAUUAGUGUUGUCACUACCCCCACUACUGCAUUUGGUGUGCCUUCUAGUGCCACUUCCCCGAUAUCCAUUCAAAAAAUAUACUGCUCUAAUCUGCUAAAAGAAUUGGACAACUCUGAAUCUGAUACUGCAAGUGAGGCUGCUGAUUCUGAAGAGGAAAUGGAUACUUUUGAAGCUCCUGUAGUCAGUGGUUUGAAGAUGAUGGGUUUAGUGGAAAACUUGGCUCUUUCCAAUGAGCAACCUGCUGCCAAGAACAAGUGGGGUCCAGUUAUAGCUCCAAGACCUAGUACCAGAGUCCACAACAGGUAA
RNAcentral lists this ribosomal RNA (354 nucleotides) under Triticum aestivum (bread wheat). RNAcentral describes it as "partial small subunit ribosomal RNA". Lineage: Eukaryota; Viridiplantae; Streptophyta; Magnoliopsida; Poales; Poaceae. The record is from RNAcentral.